CUUACUUAAAUCAUAUACAAGGUAGGGAUUUCUACCACAUAUUUCAUACUCAUCAUACAUCAUCUUAAGAGCAUAAACCAACAAAGAGAACAAGAAAUCUUAAGGCCUUUUUCAUCAAUAGGUUCUGCCACUUUUGGAAGAUGAAGAAGAAAAUGUUUUCCUCAUCAAUUCAACAUAUAAGCAUGCUUAGAAAUCUCCCAAGAACACAUUUAUACCACCAAAAUUCAAUAAUCAAAUCAUUUCAUAUAAAAUUCCCAAUUUUCACAAAAUAGUAGAAACUUCACAAAAUCAAAAAUUUAAACAAGGUAAGAGGAUUUAUGAACACUUACCUUAAACAUAAGCUCUAACAAGCUUAAAUCAAACUCUUGAAGCCUUGAUUUUCCCUUGUCUUUGGUAGGAAGUGCUCCACCCUUUGUCCUCCAAAUUACUUGAAAUUAUUCACCAAAUAUCAUUUCUCAAGCUUUAAACUCUAGGAUUGAUUCCUUAAAUCAAGUUAAAUGGGUUGAAUUUGAUGGAUUUGGCUAAGGAUGAAGUUGAAGAAAAACAAAGAGAAGAAGAAGAAGAAGGAGAUAGCCAACGCCAAAGAGAAGAAGAAGGAGAGAAAGUGGUUGCUCAAAUUAUUGAGCACAAGGGUAUUUUAGUCUUUUCUCAACAUUGGAUGGCUAGGAUUGAGUCAAUCUAAUCUAAUGGCUACAAAUAUUCUCCCAAUUAAAUUCCUUCAAAAUAUUAUUUAACACAAUAAAAUCCUCAACUUUACUCCAUAAAAAUAAUUCAUCUAAUUUCCUUAAUUAAUAUAACACCAUUUCAAAUUUACUCCAUAC
Molecule: long non-coding RNA, 821 nt
Filed under: Jatropha curcas
Lineage: Eukaryota; Viridiplantae; Streptophyta; Magnoliopsida; Malpighiales; Euphorbiaceae
Description: long non-coding RNA (JCUR_LNC001803)
Source: RNAcentral